AUGUCCAAAUUAAAGCUGUGUUUCUCAUUUACAGCUGCGAAUAUUGACUAUGAAGCUUUGAGAAGCUUUACCCGGGAUGACCUGAAGGAUCUCUUUCCAGGCCAUGAAAAUUUCUUCCGGAGAAAGAAGCUUUGGAAUUUCAUAAUCCAACAGGUAAACAGACAUUAUACAACUAAGAAUAUUAUAAUUAAUGCUAGAAUAUAUUAUUGUCUAGCAAUAAUUUGCCUAAUUGUGUAUUUUAUUUUUUAUAUCCCGCAACUGUUAUUGCUUAAGACUGCUGAACAAGAUGCCAACACUUGCCAUCGAAGUGGGAGUAAACCCUUAGGCUUUGUUGUGUCUGAAUGUCAGCCACAAACUUCCACUCCCAUUUCCUACACUGCUCACAAAACAAUGAAAAUGCCAGACCCACCAGAGUAUGUGGUGUAUACAGAUUCAGAACUGGACAUGGUGCGCAGUCAGUACUUUGCAUUGCUUCACAGUGGAAAGGAAAAGGACUGUAAGAUGUCGAAGGAGCUCUGUUGCAGACUUAUAAGGAACACAGUCACCAGCAUGGUUGCAAUCCUCCGUGCUAGUCCCAUGGGGAAAGAAGUAGGAUACCCCUCCAAACUUGAAAUGAGAGCAAUGUCACAGAAGAUUGUCGACUAUUACCCUAUCUUACGUGAUGCUGACACACACAUGCCAUAUGUAAGUCAUUCUUUUGCCACUACAAUAUCUAAAAUUGAGCGAAAUAAAAAAGAAUGUACAAAUAUAUAUUUUAUAUUACCACAGGUGACCAUCUACACCAAACUGUACAAACGACUCCAAAAUAUGAAGACCCCAAGGAGGAAACAGGGUUCCAUGCUGCAGCGAGGCAGGCCCAGGAAGGUUAUUUUCAGCUCAGACAACUUAGACAAUGGAACUGAAGGUGACUUAAGUGGCGAAGCAAGUGGUUCAAGUGACUAUACCAUACUUGACCUCAGCAAGGACAACUCAAAUGCAGAGAAAGCAUCAAAAUUCCAUCUACACUCUACUGUACCAACACAGUCAAACAAUAAUACCCUGGCUUCACCACUAUUAUCUAAGUCAGCCUCGUGCUCUGCACCCAGGGCUGCUAUAGGUCCACCAACUCCAGAUGAUGAUGUUGCAGACCAUGACAGCCUGAAGAUGCAGGCAAGACAUUACAAAACCUUGAGCAACAUGUAUAAGAAACCAAAUGCAAAACCCAACCAAAGUGACAUUGCUCAAAUUUUGGACCUGGAGUUUGAGGCCAGACGAGUUUUUAUUGAUGCAGAUGUUACAAGGGAAGAAGACAGGCCCAGAAAAAUAUUUGAAGCAUACCCGUGCUUCAAAGAUAUUCGAAAUGUAAGCCUAGCUACCUUCAAUUAAAUUCCUUGCUUUUCUCUGGAUAGGGUUCUUGACUAACUGAGCACAACUUUGUCAUAGGCGAUGGAUGAACUGUGUCGCAUCGUUGGUGGCUUCAACUGCAUAUACAUAGAUCAAAUGAAGGGUCGAUGGGCAGAGUUUUGUUCGAAAGUGCAGUUCUAUGGCAUUUGGAAGAAACCUCCUCUCCCCUUGGAUGUACGUGGAGGUAAGUGGCCUUUUCAUACAUUAAAUCCAUACAUCAGAUAUGUUCAGAGUACUUUAUUAAGAUACUUUUCUCUGUCCACAGUGGAGUUUACUGUCACUCUCUUCAAUACACUUCCAUCUCUUUUUCCUUCACCAACUACACCACCAAAGCGGCUGGGAAGUGCCAGUGAGGCUCUCCUUCAUAUCCUCAAGGUGAGAACAGCUGUUAGCAAUACCAGCCACUGUAACUUGCACUCCAUUUAAUUGUAUUAUUAUUAUUAUCAUUAUCAUUAUAUUAUUUUGCUUUUCAUGCUUAAUAAGAGAGGGUCAAAGUUCAAUUCAGCAGGGAUUAAAUUACUCCUUCUUCAGGAUUUCUAAAUUGUCAUUUAAAACCUACUCCAGAGAGGCAGCGCAGAGCAAAAGCACAUUGCAGUUGGGAUACAAGUAAAAUUGGUAAAAUUAUUUAUAUAAGGCCUUCAAAAACUAGAAUAUGUAACAAAGUUUUUAAAAAAUGUUUAAAAAAACCAUUGAGAAAAAAAGCACAAAUAUACAUGAUAAAAAGGCUGUAAACUAGAGAAAAUUCAUGCUCAUUUCCAAAAUUUCAUUUAUUUCUUCUAUUCCAACAGUAAAUCAUUCUAAACAUUCUUGAUUUUGCUUUUUGUGUCUUAAGCUGUUUGGAUGCACAGCAACCCUUUCAUUUAAAAUCUUGAAGAAUUUGUCCUUUUUUUGUGCUUUUCUAGCCAGGUGAAGAUGCUAUGCUAUACCUGGAGAAGCGGCCUCUCUCCUCCCCAGUGCUGCUUUUUGAUGGGACAACCAGCAUUGUUGCUGUAGGAAACAUACCAGUGACCACUCUCCCCUUGGAGGAUUUCUGGGAAGGAAUGUUGGUGUUGAUGGCAUAUUACUACACCUUGCACUUAACAUACCCGAAAUGUGUUGCAACGGUCCUCUCUGUCGUACAGACUGAGGUAAUCACUGAUGCCAUCCAUGAUCAAGAUGCCCCUUGUGCAUACAAGAAAGCAAUAGCUGAGUGGAAGUCAUUCUUUGAAAAAUAGGUGAAUACCAAGCAGAAUUUUAUCAGGUCAUUUGCUGUUUGUUUAGUUUUGUAGUACGUUUGUACAACUUUGUUCCUAAUUUGCCUAGCAAUGUCCUGAGAAACUGCUUUACUUAUAAUGCCUUACAAAUGAAAGUUGUUUUUUUUUUUCUUAAUGACACUUUACCUGAGGCAUGUAAAGUUUUAAAUCAGUAAUGCCGUUAUUUACAACAUUGUGAGAUUAUGUGACUCUCACAAAAGUUUAAGGCCAAAAAUGUAAUUUUUUUUCUCUGUUUAGGCCUUUUAAAGGGUUGAUUUAGACUUUAGAGAUUGUGCAGCAGCCCUAUAUUGUUUUAAAAAAGGGUUUUGUUCUCAUGAGAGGAAUAAAUGUUGACAUAUAUCACUCUUGUCCUGGCUGU
Long non-coding RNA from Oreochromis niloticus (Nile tilapia), 2994 nucleotides. The record is from Ensembl. Lineage: Eukaryota; Metazoa; Chordata; Actinopteri; Cichliformes; Cichlidae.